GCCAUUUCCAUGCCGACACUCCCACACCAUCGCUCUCCCUCCUGGCGUCUUCCCCUUCCUCUACCACCGCUUAGGAUGCUCUUCGCUUCAGCCAUGGAUGAGACUCCUACGUGCCUCUGCUCCAGCGAUGGACGCCGGGGCGCCCUUCUCUGGCCCAUGGCCGCCACGGUGCGCAGAGCAGAGAAGCACCUCUGUUCCUCCUUCCUUCCUCCAAUGUCGACCGACGCCAUGGAACCAAACCCAAGAUCUCCAUCUCUAAUCCAGCGCGCAGGGCAUUUCUCAGGGUCCGAGCUCGAGCAGGUGAGCUCGUCCCCUUGGCUUGGGCUCCUUGUUUGCUUUCUGCACGUACGCUCCCUCUCCCAUCUGGCUUCCUGCCCUUCUCAAGUCCGGCCACCCCCGCCUUGCCGUGGAUUCCAUCGAGCAGCCCCACCUGGCCGCCAUCCUCCCCAGACCGACGCCCCCUUCCACUCCUCCCAUGUUCAGCGCCUGGAGCGAACCCCUGCCGCGCCUGAGAUCCAGGCAGCCAUGGAGGGCAGCCGAACCCCUUCUCCAUGGCUUGAGCCAGCGCCCUCUCCCUGCUGGUUCCUUGGUCGUCCCUUCCCUGGUGGGUACUCAGUCACCCUCCCCUAUCUCUAUUCUAGCAGCUAGCACACGAAAUCCUCCUCGGUGCCUAGUGCCCAUGCCGACACCACGCCUUCUCCCAUGGCUGAGCGUGGGCGCUCUUUUCCCCAUGCCAUGGAUGCACCUCCACCUGCUCCUGUUGCAUGGACGCAAGCCCCAGCUCGUCGUGGUCAACACGUCCAAUGUGCCCCUCCUAGAGACGCUCGACCUCCUUGUUGUGCUGCCUCACCCUCACUUCCAUCUUCCUCGCUGUUCUC
RNAcentral lists this unclassified non-coding RNA (878 nucleotides) under Zea mays. RNAcentral's name for it is "misc RNA Zm00001eb027170". The record is from RNAcentral. Lineage: Eukaryota; Viridiplantae; Streptophyta; Magnoliopsida; Poales; Poaceae.